This is a non-coding RNA of Xyrichtys novacula (pearly razorfish), 1294 nucleotides long. The record is from the annotation of a GenBank genome assembly. Lineage: Eukaryota; Metazoa; Chordata; Actinopteri; Labriformes; Labridae.
GCUCCCACGACCAGCAGACAGACCCUGUGAUUUGCGUGACCGCCAUUUUGCUGCCCACAGUAGACAUAACUGUACAGCACUGCAGCUGCCCCGAUGGGCGAAUGCAAAUACGAGCGCCGCCUUGUUACAAAGACGACUCUCAUCACAUGAAUAAACGCCCCCCAAAAACAAGAGCGGCUCAAUCAAAUGAGACUUCGAAAGCGACACAGUGGUGGAAAAGCAGAAACGUGAGAUAUUCAAUUUCACAGCGCUUCAGUCUGAUUACAUAAACAGAUCCGAACAGUAUUCACCAGGUUAUCGGAUCUCUGGGUGAAAUAUUUCCAGCUGAUCCUUCAGCAGAUCUAUCGUUUCUGUCUCACUCUGUAUUCCUUUGAAAUAACACUGAUAUCAUUCUUCACCAGGAGAAUUUAUCACCUAUUUAUCGUGUCAUGUGCGGCUAAUUUAACCAUUUCCCCCAUUUGUUUAGCGCCAUGGUAACCAGACACCAACGUGCAUGAAUAUGAGACUAUUACGAUGGCGGUGUGUCUAGAGUUUGUUGGGCCUAUGGAUCCCUUUUUAAUUAAAGCCUGUGAGCAUGUCUGAGCUGCUCUAUUUGCUUAAUGCUUUCAUCUGUGUAUUAUGUAUGUGUGUGUGUCUGUGUGUGUGUGCGUGACAGAGCUCUGAUUCUAAAACAGCUUUGACUUAAUCUUUCAGUACAGUGUCACAUUUGCAUGCAAGGGAAUCACACGCAAACACGCCAUAUGGCACAGAACGACCACACUCUUGAUCUCAGGGAGCGAUCAGACAUGUUUCAGCACGCCAAAACCCACAACCUAAAAAAAAACAACCCACACACUUAUGCCCCAAAACACGCUAAAACACGAACGCGCUUCUGCUUGAACGUCAUCUACGCCGUCGCUUCAUACGAGCAAUUACCAGAGCGUGCAAACGACCUGACGGUUUGGAGGUUAUGCAAAUGCAAUUAGCCCUGAUUUGCAUUGGACAACAGCUAACGGAUGCACAGAUGGCAGGCGACAGAGUUGCGCCCGCCAUCUUUGGCAGAGUGGGAAGACUGGCGGCCAUUUUGUCUGAAUCUGUGCCCAUCUGGAUGGGAACAGGCGUACUGCAUCGCUGUGAUGACGAGCUGUGGGUGCUGCUGCUGCUGCUGCUGCUGCACACUGGCAAACCCGUUCAAAUGGGAGCGUAUACAGACCACUUACACACACAAACAGAGCGCUCUGUGCUGGAGAAUACAGAAACACGUUUUUUCAACUGAUCAGAGGGGUUUGAUGAAAAUAUGCCGAUUAACUUUUUU